Molecule: ribosomal RNA, 371 nt
Filed under: uncultured bacterium
Lineage: Bacteria
Description: bacterial SSU rRNA
Rfam family: Bacterial small subunit ribosomal RNA
Source: RNAcentral
GGGGGGGGCAAGCGUUGUUCGGAAUUACUGGGCGUAAAGGGCUCGUAGGUGGCCAACUAAGUCAGACGUGAAAUCCCUCGGCUUAACCGGGGAACUGCGUCUGAUACUGGAUGGCUUGAGUUCGGGAGAGGGAUGCGGAAUUCCAGGUGUAGCGGUGAAAUGCGUAGAUAUCUGGAGGAACACCGGUGGCGAAGGCGGCAUCCUGGACCGACACUGACACUGAGGAGCGAAAGCCAGGGGAGCAAACGGGAUUAGAUACCCCGGUAGUCCUGGCCCUAAACGAUGAAUGCUUGGUGUGGCGGGUAUCGAUCCCUGCCGUGCCGAAGCUAGCGCAUUAAGCAUUCCGCCUGGGGAGUACGGUCGCAAGGCUG